Molecule: ribosomal RNA, 693 nt
Filed under: uncultured archaeon
Lineage: Archaea
Description: bacterial SSU rRNA
Rfam family: Archaeal small subunit ribosomal RNA
Source: RNAcentral
GGAUAACCUACCCUUAGGACCGGGAUAACCCUGGGAAACUGGGGAUAAUACUGGAUAGGCAAUUUUUCCUGUAAUGGUUUUUUGUUUAAAUGUUUUUUCGCCUAAGGAUGGGUCUGCGGCCGAUUAGGUAGUUGGUUAGGUAAUGGCUUACCAAGCCGUCGAUCGGUACGGGUUGUGAGAGCAAGAGCCCGGAGAUGGAACCUGAGACAAGGUUCCAGGCCCUACGGGGUGCAGCAGGCGCGAAACCUCCGCAAUGUGAGAAAUCGCGACGGGGGGAUCCCAAGUGCCAUUCUUAACGGGAUGGCUUUUCAUUAGUGUAAAGAGCUUUUGGAAUAAGGGCUGGGCAAGACCGGUGCCAGCCGCCGCGGUAACACCGGCAGCUCUAGUGGUAGCAGUUUUUAUUGGGCCUAAAGCGUCCGUAGCCGGUUUAAUAAGUCUCUGGUGAAAUCCUGUAGCUUAACUGUGGGAAUUGCUGGAGAUACUAUUAGACUUGAGACCGGGAGAGGUUAGAGGUACUCCCAGGGUAGAGGUGAAAUUCUGUAAUCCUGGGAGGACCGCCUGUUGCGAAGGCGUCUAACUGGAACGGUUCUGACGGUGAGGGACGAAAGUUAGGGGCGCGAACCGGAUUAGAUACCCGGGUAGUCCUAACUGUAAACGAUGCGGACUUGGUGUUGGGGUGGCUUUGAGCUGCUC